Oryctolagus cuniculus (rabbit) is the source of this 2564-nucleotide non-coding RNA. Lineage: Eukaryota; Metazoa; Chordata; Mammalia; Lagomorpha; Leporidae. The record is from RefSeq and is a predicted model, not a curated record.
AGCAGAGCUAAGUUGCAUGUUUUAGAGGAAAGAUGUGGGAUUCGGAGCUGGGGUUGCAUUGCAGCUGCUACCUACUAUGAUGGACCCUCGGGCAAGUUUUAUUGAACUUUUGGCAGGUCUCCAUAUUACAGACUGUUCUACAUCGUUAAAUGAAAUAUUCUUCAGAAUGGACUAGGAAUGGUCAACUCAACUGUACAAUAAAUUUACAAGUUAUUUUAAACAACUAUAUUUUCAAGUUAAAACUGAUUAAAAUCUAAUCCGAUCAUCAGCUCACUUGGAGUAGUUCUCUACCUUCAUGACCUGAACUUUGGCUCUCACCUCAAUAUCAUAGAUUAUAAAAAUCCUAGACACCUGGAAAUAAACUCACUGCUUCAGAGACAAGAAUCAAGCAAUGCACCCCACUCAUCCUCAAAGUCGAAAGAGAACGUUGCUGAAAAUAGGAGGUUCUUAACAGAUGCACGGCCGCCGCCUUUGUGUGCUGGGAAGUUGGACCAACCUACAGUUUCUUUGCUGCUCACAAAAGUAGGAACCCAUCCUAGAUGUUUUGUGGAAUUCAUGCUUCUCAUCUGAGCUGACUUUCCUACGUCUGCCUCCCCCGGCCGUUUCAUCUUCCUGUGCAAGCAAAGCCUUCCAAGUAGCGGAGUUUGGAUAGCUCUGACUUCGGGUGCCUGACUUGGUAUGGUAAGGGAAACACUUCCCAAAAUCAGCACCUGAGCUUAUCCUUUAGCGUAGAGUGGAGAUUUGACAAAGUCAGCGUAUUUGGCCAAGUGAACAUCCAAAAAAGGUGGUUAAAAUCCCCCCAGGGGAUUUCUGAACCAUUAGACUGUCAACUUUGAUUUUUAGUAAGUGAAAACUUACUCAGUAUAGCAACAGACGUGGGAAAUCUUUCUUGUCUGUGGUUUAUCUCAUAAUUAUCUACAGGAUAAUUAAACCAGAAGUUUCCCUCCAUGUAGAAGACAGAAUAUUAUCUGGAAUAAUAGAGGAAGGAAAGGGGAAAAGGAGGGAGGGAGGAGAAGAGAGAGAAACACCUCUGUCUUGCCAUGUUUUAAGGGCACUAAUUUAUUAUCAACUUGUGAGAGCCCAAAAUGCAAAUAGAGAAAUCAGGGAAAACCAGGCAAGUGUCCAAAUGUAUUCCUAAGAGUUUGAAGUUAGUAAUUGAAAUAAACUUUAUACAUCAGAAGGAAUGUCACCUUCAUAGGCACUUUUGUUCAUGUGUUGAUGCGAAUCUUUAGUUAGAAACAGAAAGGGAAAGAGGCCUACUGAGGAUCUGAAAUACUACUCUAAUUUAUUUAUAGUUUGUAUUUACCAUAACAGAAACUUCUGUGAGCUGUGGGCAUCUGUCAGUCACUUAAUUAACAAUCAGCUGAGUUAAUCAUGCUGAUAAUCCACUGCAUACCACUGUGGGCUUAAAUUCUAAAGAGGCCUAAACCAGCCAGGAUGCCCUCCCUGCUAUAAAGAUGUCUUGCAGCUAAUUCCCAGGUAACAGGACCCUCCAACAAACCUCAACUGUGACUAAGAAAACAGGAGCCAUGGGCAAGGAAGCAUUUACUGUGCCUUAAAGAAUGACCUGAUGUCAUUGGGCCCUUGUAGGAACAGUAGUUCACCACCCCAAUGUUUGCCAGUCUUAGCAUAUCCAGACCAUCUCCGGGAAUGCAUGUGGAAAUAUAAUGUACCUCCCUAAUCAAUAAUCAAGUCCGUUGGGCAUUACCAGGUGUUCUUCCAUUUUCAAUGAAGUAUUUUUUUCAUUUUCAAUGUGAUUGACAACCCCACAUUAAUCAGUAUUGUUUAAACUUGACUCAAAGCAUAUACUCGCCCUAUAAGAAAAGUGUAAAACCUGCAACCAAACUCAGUCAUGCAGAACAGCCAGCUCAGAGCAACUGACUGGUUGUUUCCAGCUUUAAAUGCUCCAUUUCUCUUCAUGAAUAAAACCUCAUCUUUGGUUUCCCUGCAAAACUCUCAUUUUCAGUUAACACCACAUAGUUAGAGACUUCUGGAAACUCUUCAAUGACCAUCAGAGAAAACAAUAGCUACGUGUAGAGAUUUUUUUCCAAGUUCUAUUGGCAGGGCAGGGAGGCAUGGAUCCUGAGUCAUUCCCAUGAAGCAAACCAUCAACGUGCAGAACAAGACGCUAGGCGCCUCAGUGACGGUCUAGGAAUGUGCUCAAGGUUCUAUAACGACACCAUCCUGCCUUGCCAAGAAAUGGGCAGACCUUGCCUUUCUGCCCAAGCUGCCUGCGGGGCCCAACCAUUUCCUUCAUCUCAAGAAGAGGUGCCUCCUCCCACCCAGGCUUGUGUCUCCCUCCAGUUCAGGACUCUCAGCGACAACCAGGCUCCACCCACCACCCCCCCUUCAUCUCCUCAUCAUUUAAACAUGCUUACCUUGUGUUUAUGUCCUAACUACAGUCAUUCUGUUCAUUGGUCUUCAACUACCUGCCUACCUCAUUCAUUCCCUUCACGGUGGAGCCUCUGGAGAAAUACUUGCCUCCAUCAUCUCACAUCCCUCUCAAGUCACAACCUGCUCAUUGUCUUCUUCCCCCACCUCGGGGGAACUACUCUCCCCGAGUA